Molecule: ribosomal RNA, 439 nt
Filed under: uncultured bacterium
Lineage: Bacteria
Description: bacterial SSU rRNA
Rfam family: Bacterial small subunit ribosomal RNA
Source: RNAcentral
CCUACGGGUUGCAGCAGCGGGGAAUAUUGGACAAUGGGCGAAAGCCUGAUCCAGCAAUGCCGCGUGUGUGAAGAAGGUCUUCGGAUUGUAAAGCACUUUCGACGGGGACGAUGAUGACGGUACCCGUUGAAGAAGCCCGGCUAACUUCGUGCCAGCAGCCGCGGUAAUACGAAGGGGGCUAGCGUUGCUCGGAAUGACUGGGCGUAAAGGGCGCGUAGGCGGUUUAUGCAGUCAGAUGUGAAAUCCACGGGCUUAACCUGGGAACUGCAUUUGAGACGCAUAGACUAGAGGUCGAGAGAGGGUUGUGGAAUUCCCAGUGUAGAGGUGAAAUUCGUAGAUAUUGGGAAGAACACCGGUGGCGAAGGCGGCAACCUGGCUCGAUACUGACGCUGAGGCGCGAAAGCGUGGGGAGUAAGCAAGAUUAGAUACCCCCGUAGUC